RNAcentral lists this ribosomal RNA (477 nucleotides) under uncultured bacterium. RNAcentral's name for it is "partial 16S ribosomal RNA". It matches the Rfam family "Bacterial small subunit ribosomal RNA", at positions 30 to 507 of the family's 1533-position model. The record is from RNAcentral.
AUUGAACGCUGGCGGCAUGCCUUACACAUGUAAGUCGAACGGUAACAGGUUAAGCUGCCGAGUGGCGAACGGGUGAGUAAUGUAUCGGAACGUGCCCAGUCGUGGGGGAUAACUGCUCGAAAGAGCAGCUAAUACCGCAUACGACCUGAGGGUGAAAGCGGGGGAUCGCAAGACCUCGCGCGAUUGGAGCGGCCGAUAUCAGAUUAGGUAGUUGGUGAGGUAAAGGCUCACCAAGCCGACGAUCUGUAGCUGGUCUGAGAGGACGACCAGCCACACUGGGACUGAGACACGGCCCAGACUCCUACGGGAGGCAGCAGUGGGGAAUUUUGGACAAUGGGCGCAAGCCUGAUCCAGCCAUGCCGCGUGCGGGAAGAAGGCCUUCGGGUUGUAAACCGCUUUUGUCAGGGAAGAAAAGGUUCUGGCUAAUACCUGGGACUCAUGACGGUACCUGAAGAAUAAGCACCGGCUAACUACGUG